UCGAGAAUUUUGGGCAAUGGGCGAAAGCCUGACCCAGCAACGCCGCGUGAAGGAUGAAGUAUUUCGGUAUGUAAACUUCGAAAGAAUAGGAAGAAUAAAUGACGGUACUAUUUAUAAGGUCCGGCUAACUACGUGCCAGCAGCCGCGGUAAUACGUAGGGACCAAGCGUUGUUCGGAUUUACUGGGCGUAAAGGGCGCGUAGGCGGCAAUUCAAGUCAUCUGUGAAAUCUCCGGGCUUAACUCGGAACGGCCAAGUGAAACUGUCAUGCUAGAGUGCAGAAGGGGCAAUCGGAAUUCUUGGUGUAGCGGUGAAAUGCGUAGAUAUCAAGAGGAACACCUGAGGUGAAGACGGGUUGCUGGGCUGACACUGACGCUGAGGCGCGAAAGCCAGGGGAGCAAACGGGAUUAGAUACCCCCGUAGUCCCUGAGCGGGCUGGCAAGGCGCAU
This 447-nucleotide ribosomal RNA is filed under the name uncultured bacterium. RNAcentral describes it as "bacterial SSU rRNA". It matches the Rfam family "Bacterial small subunit ribosomal RNA", at positions 355 to 825 of the family's 1533-position model. The record is from RNAcentral.